Molecule: ribosomal RNA, 1519 nt
Filed under: uncultured prokaryote
Description: partial 16S ribosomal RNA
Rfam family: Bacterial small subunit ribosomal RNA
Source: RNAcentral
AGAGUUUGAUCAUGGCUCAGAUUGAACGUUGGCGGCACGCCUAAUACAUGCAAGUCGAACGAGAAAGCACCUUCGGGUGUGAGUAAAGUGGCGGACGGGGGAGUAAAGCGUAGGAAUCUACCUGGGAGUGGGGGACAACUCGAGGAAACUCGAGCUAAUACCGCGUACGCCGCGUACGCUCCUCUCUCACGAGAGGAGGAAAGUGGGGGAUCUUCGGACCUCACGCUAUCAGAGGAGCCUGCGUUGGAUUAGCUUGUUGGUGAGGUAAAGGCUCACCAAGGCAACGAUCCAUAGCUGGUCUGAGAGGACGAUCAGCCACACUGGAACUGAGACACGGUCCAGACUCCUACGGGAGGCAGCAGUAGGGAAUCUUGGGCAAUGGGCGCAAGCCUGACCCAGCGAUGCCGCGUGUGUGAAGAAGGCCCUAGGGUUGUAAAGCACUUUCAGCAGCGAAGAAAUGCCUGAUGGCUAAUAUCCUCGGUGUUUGACGGUACCCCCAAAGGAAGCGCCGGCUAACUCCGUGCCAGCAGCCGCGGUAAUACGGAGGGCGCAAGCGUUGCUCGGAAUUAUUGGGCGUAAAGCGCGUGUAGGUUGCUUUGCAAGUCGGAUGUGAAAGCCCCAGGCUCAACCUGGGAAGUGCAUUCGAAACUGCAUGGCUAGAGGAGAGUAGAGGAUGGUGGAAUUCCAGGUGUAGAGGUGAAAUUCGUAGAUAUCUGGAGGAAUACCGGCGGCGAAGGCGGCCAUCUGGGCUCUCCCUGACACUGAGACGCGAAAGCGUGGGUAGCAAACAGGAUUAGAUACCCUGGUAGUCCACGCCGUAAACGAUGAGUACUAGGUGUCGCGGGUAUUGACCCCUGCGGUGCCGACGCUAACGCAUUUAGCACCCCGCCUGGGGAGUACGGUCGCAAGGCUAAACCUCAAAGGAAUUGACGGGGGCCCGCACAAGCGGUGGAGCAUGUGGUUUAAUUCGACGCAACGCGAAGAACCUUACCUGGGCUUGACAUCUGGGGGAAUCUCCCUGAAAGGGGAGGGUGCCUUCGGGAACCCCAAGACAGGUGCUGCAUGGCUGUCGUCAGCUCGUGUCGUGAGGUGUUGGGUUAAGUCCCUUAACGAGCGCAACCCCUAUCCUUAGUUGCCAUCAUUCAGUUGGGCACUCUAAGGAGACUGCCUGUGUUAAGCAGGAGGAAGGUGGGGAUGACGUCAAGUCCUCAUGGCCCCUAUGUCCAGGGCUACACACGUGCUACAAUGGCUGGUACAGAGGGUCGCGAACCCGCGAGGGGGAGGUAAUCUCUUAAAGCCAGUCCCAGUUCGGAUUGAAGUCUGCAACUCGACUUCAUGAAGUUGGAAUCGCUAGUAAUCGCAAAUCAGAAGGUUGCGGUGAAUACGUUCCCGGGCCUUGUACACACCGCCCGUCACACCACGAAAGUUAUUUGUACCAGAAGUCGCUAUACCAACUCGUAAGAGGGGAAGGCGCCCAAGGUGCGAAUGAUGAUUGGGGUGAAGUCGUAACAAGGUAACC